AGCCUAAAUCUUAUUUCAUAAGACAUGGCACAAAAUCCACAUGCAUACUGAACCCGUCAUUCAGAUCCAUGCAUGUGGUCUAUAUCCGAAAGGGUAUGGGAGACGCAAGUCUC
Molecule: small RNA, 113 nt
Filed under: unclassified sequences
Description: LOOT RNA
Rfam family: LOOT RNA
About the family: Latescibacteria, OD1/Parcubacteria, OP11, TM7.
Source: Rfam by way of RNAcentral